CAUGAACAAGUGAUUGAAGCAAAUAAAAAAUAUUUAAAAUAAAUUAAGAAAGAAGAAACUUGAUAAUGAUUCCAUCCAAGGAGAGCCGGCACAAGUUUUAUCUACCAACCCUUCAAUCAAAUCGAUUAGAGGGAAAAAAAGGUUAUCAAUCCAUCAAAGGAAGAACCUAAAAAAAAUGAUUAAUCGAUCUGUGGGAAGC
This 199-nucleotide long non-coding RNA is filed under the name Elaeis guineensis (African oil palm). RNAcentral describes it as "long non-coding RNA (EGUI_LNC006319)". Lineage: Eukaryota; Viridiplantae; Streptophyta; Magnoliopsida; Arecales; Arecaceae. The record is from RNAcentral.